Molecule: ribosomal RNA, 427 nt
Filed under: uncultured bacterium
Lineage: Bacteria
Description: partial 16S ribosomal RNA
Rfam family: Bacterial small subunit ribosomal RNA
Source: RNAcentral
UGGGGAAUAUUGGACAAUGGGCGAAAGCCUGAUCCAGCCAUGCCGCGUGUGUGAAGAAGGUCUUCGGAUUGUAAAGCACUUUAAGUUGGGAGGAAGGGCAUUAACCUAAUACGUUAGUGUUUUGACGUUACCGACAGAAUAAGCACCGGCUAACUCUGUGCCAGCAGCCGCGGUAAUACAGAGGGUGCAAGCGUUAAUCGGAAUUACUGGGCGUAAAGCGCGCGUAGGUGGUUUGUUAAGUUGGAUGUGAAAUCCCCGGGCUCAACCUGGGAACUGCAUUCAAAACUGACUGACUAGAGUAUGGUAGAGGGUGGUGGAAUUUCCUGUGUAGCGGUGAAAUGCGUAGAUAUAGGAAGGAACACCAGUGGCGAAGGCGACCACCUGGACUAAUACUGACACUGAGGUGCGAAAGCGUGGGGAGCAGACA